This 406-nucleotide ribosomal RNA is filed under the name uncultured bacterium. RNAcentral describes it as "partial 16S ribosomal RNA". It matches the Rfam family "Bacterial small subunit ribosomal RNA", at positions 30 to 526 of the family's 1533-position model. The record is from RNAcentral.
AUUGAACGCUGGCGGCAGGCCUAACACAUGAAAGUCGAGCGAGCGGCGGACGGGUGAGUAAUUUCUGGGAAACUGCCUGAUGGAGGGGGGUAACCACUGGAAACGGUAGCUAAUACCGCAUCCCAUAAGAUGUGCCCAGAUGGGAUUGGCUAGUAGGUGGGGUAACGGCUCACCUAGGCGACGAGCCCUAGCUGGUCUGAGAGGGUGACCAGCCACACUGGAACUGAGACACUGUCCAGACUCCUACGGUAGGCAGCAGUGGGGAAUAUGGCACAAUGGGCGCAAGCCUGGUGCAGCCAUGCCGCGUGUGUGAAGAAGGCCUUCGGGUUGUAAAGCACUUUCAGCGGGGAGGCGUUACCCGCUGAAGAAGCACCGGCUAACUCCGUGCCAGCCGCCGCGGUAAUUC